Molecule: ribosomal RNA, 838 nt
Filed under: uncultured fungus
Lineage: Eukaryota; Fungi
Description: eukaryotic LSU rRNA
Rfam family: Eukaryotic large subunit ribosomal RNA
Source: RNAcentral
UGGCUGGUUUACUAGUCCGAAUUGUAGUUUAAAGAAGCGUUUUCGGUGGCAGCCUGGGUAUAAAUCCUUUGGAAUAGGGUAUCAUAGAGGGUGAGAAUCCCGUCUUUGACUCAGUGAAUGCUACUAUGUGAUACGUUUUCAAAGAGUCGAGUUGUUUGGGAAUGCAGCUCAAAAUGGGUGGUAAAUUUCAUCUAAAGCUAAAUAUUGGCGAGAGACCGAUAGCGAACAAGUACCGUGAGGGAAAGAUGAAAAGAACUUUGAAAAGAGAGUUAAACAGUACGUGAAAUUGUUGAAAGGGAAACGUUUGACACCAGUCAUGCGGGUGGAAAAUCAGUCUUUUAGAGUAGGGAGUGGUGGGGGUUCGGACCGCAAGGCUGGCCUUUAUCUCAUCUCUGCGCUAAUGGAUGCACUUUUUCAUUUGCAGGUCAACAUCAGUUUCUUCUGCUGGACAAAACUCCGAGAGAAGGUAGCAGCUUAGGCUGUGUUAUAGCUCUGGAGCGAUACAGUGGAGGGGACUGAGGUUUUCGCAGUGUGUGCUUUCGGGCAAGGUUGAUUGGGUGCUAUGUGAUCGUUCGGUGUACAAUGCAUGCAUUUUGCGCUGUGUCUUUUGCAUACUCGCCUGACUCGACUCUUCCACGCUUAGGAUGUUGACUUAAUGGUUUUAAACGACCCGUCUUGAAACACGGACCAAGGAGUCUAACAUGUAUGCAAGUGUUUGGGUGGCAAACCCAUACGCGUAAUGAAAGUGAACGUAGGUGCGAUCCGCAAGGUGCAGCAUCGACCGAUCUUGAUAUUUUUGGAUAGAUUUGAGUAAGAGCAUAUAUGCUGGGACCCGAAA